CCUACGGGCGGCAGCAGUAGGGAAUCUUCGUCAAUGGGCGCAAGCCUGAACGAGCAAUGCCGCGUGAACGAGGAAGGUCUUCGGAUCGUAAAGUUCUGUUGAAGGGGAAAAAGAGCGGAGAGAGGAAAUGCUUUCUGAUUGAUAUUACCCUUCGAGGAAGUCACGGCUAACUACGUGCCAGCAGCCGCGGUAAUACGUAGGUGGCGAGCGUUAUCCGGAAUGAUUGGGCGUAAAGGGUGCGUAGGCGGCCUGCUAAGUCUGGAGUGAAAGGUACCGGCUCAACCGGUACAGGCUCUGGAAACUGGCGGGCUAGAGAGCAGGAGAGGGCGGUGGAACUCCAUGUGUAGCGGUAAAAUGCUUAGAUAUCACGAAGAACUCCGAUUGCGAAGGCAGCCUUCUAAACUGCCACUGACAUUGAUGCUCGAAAGUGUGGGUAUCAAACAGGAUUAGAUACCCCUGUAGUC
This 464-nucleotide ribosomal RNA is filed under the name uncultured bacterium. Its description in RNAcentral is "partial 16S ribosomal RNA". It matches the Rfam family "Bacterial small subunit ribosomal RNA", at positions 338 to 795 of the family's 1533-position model. The record is from RNAcentral.